This 253-nucleotide ribosomal RNA is filed under the name uncultured bacterium. Its description in RNAcentral is "partial 16S ribosomal RNA". It matches the Rfam family "Bacterial small subunit ribosomal RNA", at positions 524 to 776 of the family's 1533-position model. The record is from RNAcentral.
UACGGAGGGUGCAAGCGUUAUCCGGAUUUACUGGGUUUAAAGGGUGCGCAGGCGGAUAUGUAAGUCAGUGGUGAAAUCUCUAGGCUUAACCUGGAAAUUGCCGUUGAUACUAUAUAUCUUGAAUGCUGUGGAGGUAAGCGGAAUAUGUCAUGUAGCGGUGAAAUGCUUAGAUAUGACACAGAACACCGAUUGCGAAGGCAGCUCACAAAACUGUAACUGACGCUGAGGCACGAAAGCGUGGGUAUCAAACAGG